Molecule: non-coding RNA, 2050 nt
Organism: Delphinapterus leucas (beluga whale)
Lineage: Eukaryota; Metazoa; Chordata; Mammalia; Artiodactyla; Monodontidae
Source: RefSeq, a predicted model, not a curated record
GUUUUUCUUGUAGGUUGCAGUGGAAUUAGAAAAUGUAAAAUCAGAAUCAGAGCUGUUAAAAAAACAACUGUCAAGUGAGAGACAUACGAUUAAAAACCUUGAAUCAUUGUUGGCUACAAAUAGAGAUAAAGAAUUUCAUUCCCAUUUAACCUCCCACGAGAAGGAUACAGAAAUUCAGCUACUUAAAGAGAAGUUAACCCUUUCAGAAAGCAAAUUAAAUAGUCAAAGCCGGGAAAACACCAUGCUUCGGGCUAAAAUGGCACAAUUACAAACAGAUCUUGAUGUUCUGAAAAGGCAGAUUUCAACUGAAAGAUACGAACGAGAACGAGCAAUCCAAGAGAUGCGUCGGCACGGUCUUCGCACACCACCCCUUAGUUCUACUCUGAAGUCUCCUUUACAUUCUCCUGAACAUAAAAACUGAUUAUCAGAAAGAAUGGUGGCUUUCAUGAGUUGGCUAUACGGAUUUUUUUAAAGGACAGACAGUAAUGAAAUAUUUGAAGCACUUGUUCCUGAAAAUUAUGAACAUUGACACAAAUUCUACCUCUGUCAACUUUUAUUUAAAUCAGUGAAUAUUUAUGUAAAAAUUUGGUUUAAAAGAGCUAUAUCCAUGUGUAUAUUUUCAUAUAUAUGACAGAACAGAAUAUGUAUGGAUAGUGCUAAUGUUAUAUCUGUAUUUUUAUUAUUCCUGACUUAAAUUACUUCUCAAAGUGUGGUUAUACUGUGAAUUAAUAUGAUGUAUUAUUCACAUUAUGCUUUAAUAAUCUUUUUCUUAAUGAGCCAUGAUAUAUGUAUAUAAAUAUUCUCAUUUCCAUGCCUGUGUUUAUAACCCAUAUCUUUAAUACAUUCACAAGGGAUGAUCAACUUUGAUGCUAUGCUGUCAUGUUUAACUUUUUUCUUCUAAAUGUAAAAUUAAUUAUGUACCAAUAUGCUGUCUAUCAUUGAGGGGACUAUAUUCAGGUCUAUUCUUAUAAUAGCAAAGGUCUUGAUAAAAUAAUGGUUGCCAUAUAUAAUUUGUUAUUGCCAACUAGAAGAACUGUGAUAGAAAAGAUACAUUCAUAUAUUAUAUACAAUAUACUAUUUUGGCUACCACAUGGACUCUUCACAUAAUAUAAACACUAUCAAAAUUAAACUAAAAGCUGUAUUUAGAAUUUUGUAAAACGAUAGAACAGAAAUUUGGGAUAUUUUUCAGUAAAUAAAAUUUCUCACUGUACGAAUCUAAAAUUUUGAAUACAAAAGUAUCAAUAUAUAGGGUAAAUACAGUAAAACAUUUUGUUAAAAUUCCAUUAUACAUUCAAUAAUAUCCAGUUUUUUGCUUCUAAACCUGUGUGUUGUAAUUUAUCAGUCUUCCAGAAUAGUAUGUAAACACUGACCUGUUGUGGCAUAUUAGAUAGAAAACAGCUUUUUACAGUGAAUUUUCAAAGUUGUAACUUUAAAGGAUUUAGAUAUAUACCGAUAUUAAUAAAAGAACAAAAGUACAAAAUAGAUUGUUGUACAAAAACUAAUCGUGUUUAAACCAUACAUUGGAAGAAAAUCCUGUUCUUAAUAAAUUUCAUUAUGAUCGAAAAAGAACUUAAAAACUAGCAUUGGAAAAUGGAAGACCAAUUAUUUAUGAUACAUUUUAUUUCCUCCUGUGGUUUAAUAAAGUGCAGUUUGUGUGUGAGUGUGUGUGUGUACCUGGGGGUGGGCAGCACUCUUUUUCUAAAACUAAUAUUCCUUAUAUGUUCUCAUUAUGCCCUUUGCAGUAAUUAUGUAUUUGGUGUGAUGUGGCUUACUUUUUCACCAUCUAUGUAAUUUUAUGUAUUCUGUCUCCUGUGUGUGAAUUCAUGUGUUACAGCAAAAUACAAUAGAAAUGGGACUAUUUACAAUGUCAUAUGGAAAAUCUUUUAAUAAAUAUAUGUAAAUAAAAUUUUAAAAUUUGUCCCCACCUUUUCCCCAAAACAACAGCAAGGCAUAUUUUGUUCAAUAUUUUAUUUCUAAUGUUUCUAUAAUUGAAAAAUGUAUAGUUUGCCAUAAUUGUUAUUUUCAUAACCAUGAUACAAUUUUUUAAAGU